Molecule: long non-coding RNA, 781 nt
Organism: Perognathus longimembris pacificus (Pacific pocket mouse)
Lineage: Eukaryota; Metazoa; Chordata; Mammalia; Rodentia; Heteromyidae
Exons: 3
Source: RefSeq, a predicted model, not a curated record
AGGUCUUCUUAAGACAGAAUUAAAAACAACUGCUGAUAAGGGCCCUCUUCAUAUGUACUGUGCUUCAAGAAAGGUAAUGGUUUGCCAACCAUUGUUUCAUCUUCUGGUGUUCUUCCUGCUACUGCUUCUAAUAAGAAAGGGCAUUGAAUUUCCAAUCCUCAUCCCCUUUUAGGAUCCUCAUCUUUCUUACUGGAUCUGAAUCUAGGAUGAAAACUCAGUCAUGGUGGUAGGAAAGAAUAAGGUUAGAGAGAAAGUCAUCACUGUGUCAUAUCUGAAGCUCUAGAGGCACAAAGUAUCUUCUAAAGAUGGACACAGCAAUAUAUCCCUUCCCACAUGCUCUCUUUACCAAUUUGACUUUAUAUCCUUCCAUUAGACAGGGUAGGGGAAGACAUACUCUUUCCUCCUGAAUCUUGAUGGACUUGGGACUGUGGCAGAAGUGAAGCUAUAUGACUUGCAAGCCAGAGUCUCUUGAGAUGCUCAUUCUUGGAACCUGGCCAUCCUAGCAUGAGAAAGCUCAAGAAUCCCAUGGAAUAAAAUAGGAUCGGAGUUCAAAGACUAGCUGAGCCCCCUACCUGAUAGUGUGCAUAAGAUGCCAGACAUAUGAGUGGGACAGGCCCCUCUUCAGUUGCCUCAACUGAUGCUGCAUGGAACACAGACUAACUGUUCACACCAAAGCAGGUCAAGUUCCAUAAGCAAAGUAAUUGUUUUAGGCUAACAUGUGUUGUGGUAGUUUGUUGCAAAGAACUAACUAGAACAGUUUCCUUCACACAUGGAAAACUGA